UUAUGCGAUACUUGGUGUGAAUUGCAGAAUUCAGUGAAUCAUCGAAUCUUUGAACGCACAUUGCGCCCGCCAGUAUUCUGGCGGGCAUGCCUGUUCGAGCGUCAUUUCAACCCUCAAGCUCAGCUUGGUGUUGGGACUCGCGGUAACCCGCGUUCCCCAAAUCGAUUGGCGGUCACGUCGAGCUUCCAUAGCGUAGUAAUCAUACACCUCGUUACUGGUAAUCGUCGCGGCCACGCCGUUAAACCCCAACUUCUGAAUGUUGACCUCGGAUCAGGUAGGAAUACCCGCUGAACUUAAGCAUAUCAAUAAGCGGAGGA
Molecule: ribosomal RNA, 317 nt
Filed under: Botryosphaeria sp. BAB-4041
Lineage: Eukaryota; Fungi; Ascomycota; Dothideomycetes; Botryosphaeriales; Botryosphaeriaceae
Description: eukaryotic LSU rRNA
Rfam family: 5.8S ribosomal RNA (bases 1-104)
Source: RNAcentral